RNAcentral lists this ribosomal RNA (965 nucleotides) under Bacillus halotolerans. RNAcentral describes it as "bacterial SSU rRNA". It matches the Rfam family "Bacterial small subunit ribosomal RNA", at positions 1 to 866 of the family's 1533-position model. The record is from RNAcentral. Lineage: Bacteria; Bacillati; Bacillota; Bacilli; Caryophanales; Bacillaceae.
CGAUAAUUAUUGUCCCCCACCCCCGUUUAUAAUUUAUGGUGCGGCUAUCUUUUCUGUAAUAUAUGGGGAGAUAGAAUCACGCAACCGUAGUGUUUGAUCCUGGCUCAGGACGAACGCUGGCGGCGUGCCUAAUACAUGCAAGUCGAGCGGACAGAUGGGAGCUUGCUCCCUGAUGUUAGCGGCGGACGGGUGAGUAACACGUGGGUAACCUGCCUGUAAGACUGGGAUAACUCCGGGAAACCGGGGCUAAUACCGGAUGCUUGUUUGAACCGCAUGGUUCAAACAUAAAAGGUGGCUUCGGCUACCACUUACAGAUGGACCCGCGGCGCAUUAGCUAGUUGGUGAGGUAAUGGCUCACCAAGGCAACGAUGCGUAGCCGACCUGAGAGGGUGAUCGGCCACACUGGGACUGAGACACGGCCCAGACUCCUACGGGAGGCAGCAGUAGGGAAUCUUCCGCAAUGGACGAAAGUCUGACGGAGCAACGCCGCGUGAGUGAUGAAGGUUUUCGGAUCGUAAAGCUCUGUUGUUAGGGAAGAACAAGUACCGUUCGAAUAGGGCGGUACCUUGACGGUACCUAACCAGAAAGCCACGGCUAACUACGUGCCAGCAGCCGCGGUAAUACGUAGGUGGCAAGCGUUGUCCGGAAUUAUUGGGCGUAAAGGGCUCGCAGGCGGUUCCUUAAGUCUGAUGUGAAAGCCCCCGGCUCAACCGGGGAGGGUCAUUGGAAACUGGGGAACUUGAGUGCAGAAGAGGAGAGUGGAAUUCCACGUGUAGCGGUGAAAUGCGUAGAGAUGUGGAGGAACACCAGUGGCGAAGGCGACUCUCUGGUCUGUAACUGACGCUGAGGAGCGAAAGCGUGGGGAGCGAACAGGAUUAGAUACCCUGGUAGUCCACGCCGUAAACGAUGAGUGCUAAGUGUUAGGGGGUUUCCGCCCCUUAGUGCUGCAGCUAACGCAUUAAGCA